RNAcentral lists this transfer RNA (72 nucleotides) under Bos taurus (domestic cattle). It matches the Rfam family "tRNA". From Rfam's summary of the family: Transfer RNA (tRNA) molecules are approximately 80 nucleotides in length. RNAcentral also lists the same sequence under 5 other names. Lineage: Eukaryota; Metazoa; Chordata; Mammalia; Artiodactyla; Bovidae. The record is from Rfam by way of RNAcentral.
UCCCUGAUGGCUCAGAUGGUAAAGCAUCUGCCUGCAAUACAGGCGACCUGGGUUCAAUCCCUGGGUUGGGAA